AUUGAACGCUGGCGGCAGGCCUAACACAUGCAAGUCGAGCGAGCGGCGGACGGGUGAGUAAUGUAUGGGGACUGCCCGAUAGAGGGGGAUAACUACUGGAAACGGUGGCUAAUACCGCAUAUUGCAGGAUAAUCCCUAUGGGAUGAGCUAGUAGGUUAGGUAAUGGCUUACCUAGGCGACGAUCCCUAGCUGGUCUGAGAGGAUGAUCCGCCACAAUGGGACUGAGGCCCGGCCCAGACUCCUACGGAGGCAGCAGUGGGGAAUCUUCCGCAAUGGACGAAAGUCUGACGGAGCAACGCCGCGGGAGUGAUGACGGCCUUCGGGUUGUAAAGCUCUGUUAAUCGGGAGACGGUACCGGAAUAGAAAGCCACGGCUAACUACGUGCCAGCAGCCGCGGUAAUAC
RNAcentral lists this ribosomal RNA (403 nucleotides) under uncultured bacterium. RNAcentral's name for it is "partial 16S ribosomal RNA". It matches the Rfam family "Bacterial small subunit ribosomal RNA", at positions 30 to 526 of the family's 1533-position model. The record is from RNAcentral.